Gadus morhua (Atlantic cod) is the source of this 1888-nucleotide long non-coding RNA. Lineage: Eukaryota; Metazoa; Chordata; Actinopteri; Gadiformes; Gadidae. The record is from Ensembl.
CGUUAAUCUCACCCCACCCUGGAACGCUUAUUUUGUUGCGUCUACAGACUAGACCCCUCGGUCAUCCGUCGACGGACGGAGGUAGUGUGAAUGCGCCCUGGCCUGAAUACGCGCGGACCAUGGACCUCUAAAGACCGUUUGGAAUGCGCCCGGACCGUUUUGAGUACACCAUCCGGGUCCUUUCAGUGCACUGCUUUCCCCGAUCGUAAUUGGAACGCCCUAAUCAAACUAAUCUGUUUGUGUUGCAAUGGCCAUGAGACAUACCAUUGACCGCCAGCAUCCCAGCUACAAAGAGGGGAAAUGUAAAUUGCUUGAAAGUAAACAAGACCACCUUAUAGCUGAAGCUGAGAGAGCCGUUGAGGAGAGGAAACGUGCGCGUUCUGGUGGAGGACCUCCAUGUGGCUCCACUAGUGACGGUGCAAGACGAGGCAAGCCGAGGGGGAGGCGUGGAGGGCGACGCGGAGGGCGACGCAAAGCCUCAGCCACAGUCACGUUCCCCCCAGCUGAGUGCUCCCCGUCAUCCCAUGAGGACGUUCCGCUUACUGUACCUUCAGCGCAACUGAAUCCUCAAGAGGCAUUUGAAAAGUUUGUGGAGAGGCUUUCAUCUCUAAAUGCCUCUGGUCCUUCUGCCAAGCCUCAAAGAAGCUCUGCAUCUUCAUGGACUUUUCGGCAGCAGAAAGCCUCAGAGCGCUGGACAGAAGCACGACCAAACCACCUACAAGGCCUCAUUGAAAAGGAGGCUGUUGGUCAUCCCUUGUGUUGCCUCUGCCCCAAGCCGGCUGUUAUUAGGUGCAGAGAGUGUCUCCCUGAAGAGUGGUUCUGUGGGGACUGCGAUGUACUGCAUCACAAAAAACAGCCACUCCACAACAGGGAAUGUCUGACACGUGGGUUCUUUGAACCCAUUCCUCCAACCACACGCGUCAUGAAAGGGGAGGAUGGAUAUUUCACUCAGGAGCAAGCUUGCAUCUUGCCAACUGUGAGUGUGUCAAACUGCGUCUGCGAUGGCACAACCUUCACUGUGUUACCAGGCAAACCAGUGAUUUUAAUUAACAUCAAUGGUAAAAACAAUUCACUAUUUAAAUUUAUAUUUGAAGAUGAUUUCCAGAAAUAAAAUCACACAUCAAGAUAUUGGGGGUCUUUCAAAAUGUGUUUUAAGCAUGUUUUUUUCUUUCUUGCUCUAAGGACGUUAUGACUUGCAUCAGCCACUGUAUGUAUGUCAGACGUGCCAGCAGCAGAGGACCCCUGACAUGAAGCACUUCCUUCAGAGUGGAUAUUGGCCAGCCUCUCUCAAUACUUCCACGUUGUACACGUUGGACCUCUUGAGCUCCUUUCAGGAACUGAAAGUAAUCUCUCCGGGAUUCUCCAGACAGGCCUUCGCAAAGCUCCUGGAGCAUCGCACCAAGUGUGGAGGACGAUCUGGACAUAUCAAAGGUGACACCCUGCAGCGCAGCUUCUUGGAGUUUUCAUAUGCUUCGUUUGAGAAGGACCAACUCUGCUGUGGUGCUGUUCUCACCUGCCCAGCCUGCACACCAGAAAUGUUGGCUGUUUCAGUAGAUGGAAACAGAAAGUUAUAUCGCUUUCGCCGAAAUGGAAGUUCUGGUGACCAUGCCUUUUUUGAAGGUUUAUUUGUGGCUGAAGACAGUGCAGUGUCUGGAUUUGUGGACAUGAUCCAGAAAGCUGUGAAAAAGACACAGGGAAGAGGCACGUGUGGGGACUCCCAAUGGACAGCAGCACGGGAGACAUCAAGAAGGGCAUCCAAAUUGGAUGAAGAGGGCAUGGAGGUUGCUGUGUGUCGCCAUGGUUUCCUUCUUAAAGCCCUUAAUAUGUACAGGGAGAAAUAUUUGCCUACCCCAUGUACCUUCAAAAGGAGCUGAUGCCAGCCAAGGCA